GAUGAAGAACGCAGCGAAAUGCGAUACGUAAUGUGAAUUGCAGAAUUCAGUGAAUCAUCGAAUCUUUGAACGCAUAUUGCGCUCUCUGGUAUUCCGGAGAGCAUGCUUGUUUGAGUAUCAGUAAACACCUCAACUCCCUUUUCUUUUUUGAAAUGGGAGCUGGACUUGAGUGAUCCCAACACUUUUCUCACUGGAAAGUGGCGGGUCACUUGAAAUGCAGGUGCAGCUGGACUUUUCUCUGAGCUAUAAGCAUAUCUAUUUAGUCUGCCUAAAAAACAGAUUAUUACCUUUGCUGCAGCUAACAUAAAGGAGAUGAGUUCUUGUGCUGACUGAUGCAGGAUUCACAGAGACAGCUUUGCGGCUGACUUUGUAAACUCGAUCUCAAAUCAAGUAAGACUACCCGCUGAACUUAAGCAUAUCAAUAAGCGGAGGA
This 433-nucleotide unclassified non-coding RNA is filed under the name soil metagenome. RNAcentral describes it as "partial contains 5.8S ribosomal RNA, internal transcribed spacer 2, and large subunit ribosomal RNA". The stretch from base 1 to 120 matches the Rfam family "5.8S ribosomal RNA", at positions 35 to 154 of the family's 154-position model. The record is from RNAcentral.